This 24-nucleotide non-coding RNA is filed under the name Arabidopsis thaliana (thale cress). The record is from RNAcentral. RNAcentral also lists the same sequence under 1 other name. Lineage: Eukaryota; Viridiplantae; Streptophyta; Magnoliopsida; Brassicales; Brassicaceae.
CAAAUCGUUCGUCUGACUUGGGUA